CUCAAUGAAUAAUUUAAUAGCCGCAAUUUACUGUGCUAAGGUAGCAUAAUCACUCGUUUUUUAAUUAAAAACUGGAACGAAAGAUUUAACAUUUUCUCUUCUUUAUUAAAUAUUUAUAUUAAAUUUAUUUUAAAUAUUAAAAAAUAUUUAUUCAUUAAAAAGACGACAAGACCCUAUUGAACUUAACUUAUGUUUAACUGGGGCAGUUAAUUAAAUAAAAUUUUAAUUUAAAAACCAAAAAAACCUAAUAUAAUUAAAUUAACAAGUUACCAUAGGGAUAACAGCGCAAUAAUUUUCUUAAGAUCUUAUUAUAAAAAUUGAUUACGACCUCGAUGUUGAAUUAAUAAUCUAUUAAAUGCAAUAAUUAACAAGAAAGUC
This 378-nucleotide ribosomal RNA is filed under the name Draconarius sp. ZZ417. Its description in RNAcentral is "partial 16S ribosomal RNA". The record is from RNAcentral. Lineage: Eukaryota; Metazoa; Arthropoda; Arachnida; Araneae; Agelenidae.